Molecule: unclassified non-coding RNA, 287 nt
Filed under: Hevea brasiliensis (rubber tree)
Lineage: Eukaryota; Viridiplantae; Streptophyta; Magnoliopsida; Malpighiales; Euphorbiaceae
Source: RNAcentral
AUUCCUUGGGUAUAACCAACUUUUGGAAACUUUCACAUACAAAAAUAGUACAAAACUUGGUUCUGAUUACAACACAAUCGCAGUCAGAAAACCCUCACAACAAGACAUACGUCUAGAAACAAACACCAAAAAAUAAUGAGGAAAUUUCCAAAAGUUGGUUAUACCCAAGGAAUAAACAUGAGAAUAACCAAGACCAUAAAUAAUGUAUGGCAANNNNUCAUAUAUCAACAGCAAAUUGAAUCAAAGAAACAAAAAAUACACAUCAGUGCGUUGAAGCCACACCCCUC